This 443-nucleotide ribosomal RNA is filed under the name uncultured bacterium. RNAcentral's name for it is "partial 16S ribosomal RNA". It matches the Rfam family "Bacterial small subunit ribosomal RNA", at positions 358 to 796 of the family's 1533-position model. The record is from RNAcentral.
GNNAUUUUCUNAUGGGGGNANCCUUGAGGNGCGACCCCCCNUGGAGGNUGAAGGUCUUCGGAUUGUAAACUCCUGUCAUUAGGGAACAAUGUGCGGUUGUUAACUGCAAUCGUAUUGAUAGUACCUGAAGAGGAAGAGACGGCUAACUCUGUGCCAGCAGCCGCGGUAAUACAGAGGUCUCAAGCGUUGUUCGGAUUCAUUGGGCGUAAAGGGUGCGUAGGUGGCGCUGUAAGUCAGGUGUGAAAUCUCGGGGCUCAACCCCNAAACUGCACUUGAUACUGCGGUGCUUGAGUACUGGAGAGGAGAUUGGAAUUUACGGUGUAGCAGUGAAAUGCGUAGAUAUCGUAAGGAAGACCAGUGGCGAAGCCGAAUCUCUGGACAGUUACUGACACUGAGGCACGAAGGCUAGGGGGAGCAAACAGGAUUAGAUACCCUGGUAGUCC